RNAcentral lists this ribosomal RNA (253 nucleotides) under uncultured bacterium. Its description in RNAcentral is "partial 16S ribosomal RNA". It matches the Rfam family "Bacterial small subunit ribosomal RNA", at positions 524 to 776 of the family's 1533-position model. The record is from RNAcentral.
UACGAAGGGUGCAACCGUUGCUCGGAAUUAUUGGGCGUAAAGCGCACGUAGGCGGCUUAGCAAGUCGGACGUGAAAUCCCACGGCUCAACCAUGGAAGUGCUUUCGAAACUGCUGAGCUUGAGUACGAAAGAGGAUCGCGGAAUUCCCGGUGUAGAGGUGAAAUUCGUAGAUAUCGGGAGGAACACCAGUGGCGAAGGCGGCGAUCUGGGUCGAUACUGACGCUGAGGUGCGAAAGCGUGGGGAGCAAACAGG